GAAUUCGCCCUUAGAGUUCCCUUCUGGCUCAGGACGAACGCUGGCGGCGUGCUUAACACAUGCAAGUCGAGCGAAGUGCUUUAGACUGAUCCCUUCGGGGUGACGUCUUUAGUAUCUUAGCGGCGGACGGGUGAGUAACGCGUGAGAAACCUGCCUUUCACAAAGGAAUAGCCUCGGGAAACUGGGAUUAAUACCUUAUGAUACCUAAGCUCCACAUGGAGUAUAGGUUAAAGCGUAAAGCGGUGAAAGAUGGUCUCGCGUCCCAUUAGUUAGUUGGUGAGGUAAAGGCUCACCAAGACCAUGAUGGGUAACCGGCCUGAGAGGGUGAACGGUCACACUGGAACUGAGACACGGUCCAGACUCCCACGGGAGGCAGCAGUGGGGAAUAUUGCACAAUGGAGGAAACUCUGAUGCAGCGACGCCGCGUGAAUGAUGAAGGUCUUCGGAUCGUAAAAUUCUGUCCUAGGGGACGAUAAUGACGGUACCCUAGGAGGAAGCCCCGGCUAACUAUGUGCCAGCAGCCGCGGUAAUACAUAGGGGGCAAGCGUUGUCCGGAUUUAUUGGGCGUAAAGGGUACGCAGGCGGUCCUUUAAGUCAGAUGUGAAAUCUUACGGCUCAACCGUAAUUAGCAUUUGAAACUGGGGGACUUGAGUUAAGGAGAGGAAAGUGGAAUUCCUAGUGUAGCGGUGAAAUGCGUAGAUAUUAGGAGGAAUACCAGUGGCGAAGGCGACUUUCUGGACUUAUACUGACGCUGAGGUACGAAAGCGUGGGGAGCAAACAAGGAUUAGAUACCCUGGUAGUCCACGCUGUAAACGA
This 816-nucleotide ribosomal RNA is filed under the name uncultured bacterium. RNAcentral's name for it is "bacterial SSU rRNA". It matches the Rfam family "Bacterial small subunit ribosomal RNA", at positions 1 to 809 of the family's 1533-position model. The record is from RNAcentral.